AGGAUCAUUACAGAGUUCGCGCCCGCAAGGGUAGACCUCCCACCCGUGUGUACCGUUACCAUGUUGCUUCGGCGGGCCGCCGCAAGGCCCCGGCUCCGGCUGGGUCGUGCCCGUCAGAGGACCCCCAAACCCUGAAUGUUAGUGUCGUCUGAGUUACUAUACAAUAGUUAAAACUUUCAACAACGGAUCUCUUGGUUCUGGCAUCGAUGAAGAACGCAGCGAAAUGCGAUAAGUAAUGUGAAUUGCAGAAUUCAGUGAAUCAUCGAAUCUUUGAACGCACAUUGCGCCCCUCGGUAUUCCGGGGGGCAUGCCUGUUCGAGCGUCAUUUCAACCCUCACGCCCCGCGUGGUCUUGGGCCCUGCCGGCGACGGCAGGCCCUAAAGCGAGUGGCGGCGCCUGAAGGCCCUGAACGUAGUACAAUCUCUCGUUACAGGCGCCCGACGGACGCUGGCCAGCAACCCCAACUUUCUAUGGUUGA
RNAcentral lists this ribosomal RNA (478 nucleotides) under fungal sp. 27.37. RNAcentral's name for it is "eukaryotic LSU rRNA". The stretch from base 172 to 325 matches the Rfam family "5.8S ribosomal RNA". Lineage: Eukaryota; Fungi. The record is from RNAcentral.